GAUCAUGGCUCAGGAUGAACGCUAGCGGCAGGCCUAAUACAUGCAAGUCGAACGAGAUUGUUUUAGCAAUAGAACAUGAAAGUGGCGCACGGGUGCGUAACACGUAUGCAAUCUACCUUUAAUAGGAGAAUAGCUUCGAGAAAUCGGAAUUAAUACUCCAUAACAUAAUUGAGUGGCAUCACUUGGUUAUCAAACCUCCGGGGAUUAAAGAUGAGCAUGCGCAACAUUAGCUAGUUGGUAAGGUAAUGGCUUACCAAGGCUACGAUGUUUAGGGGGUCUGAGAGGAUGAUCCCCCACACUGGUACUGAGACACGGUCCAGACUCCUACGGGAGGCAGCAGUGGGGAAUUUUCCGCAAUGGGCGAAAGCCUGACGGAGCAAUACCGCGUGAGGGAUGAAAGCCUGUGGGUUGUAAACCUCUUUUCUCAAGGAAGAAGUUCUGACGGUACUUGAGGAAUAAGCAUCGGCUAACUCUGUG
This 477-nucleotide ribosomal RNA is filed under the name uncultured bacterium. RNAcentral describes it as "bacterial SSU rRNA". It matches the Rfam family "Bacterial small subunit ribosomal RNA", at positions 15 to 507 of the family's 1533-position model. The record is from RNAcentral.